UACGAAGGGGGCUAGCGUUGCUCGGAAUUACUGGGCGUAAAGGGCUCGUAGGCGGCCAACUAAGUCGGACGUGAAAUCCCCAGGCUCAACCUGGGAACUGCGUCUGAUACUGGAUGGCUUGAAUCCGGGAGAGGGAUGCGGAAUUCCAGGUGUAGCGGUGAAAUGCGUAGAUAUCUGGAGGAACACCGGUGGCGAAGGCGGCAUCCUGGACCGGUAUUGACGCUGAGGCGCGAAAGCCAGGGGAGCAAACGGG
This 253-nucleotide ribosomal RNA is filed under the name uncultured prokaryote. RNAcentral's name for it is "partial 16S ribosomal RNA". It matches the Rfam family "Bacterial small subunit ribosomal RNA", at positions 524 to 776 of the family's 1533-position model. The record is from RNAcentral.